RNAcentral lists this ribosomal RNA (499 nucleotides) under uncultured bacterium. RNAcentral's name for it is "bacterial SSU rRNA". It matches the Rfam family "Bacterial small subunit ribosomal RNA", at positions 37 to 507 of the family's 1533-position model. The record is from RNAcentral.
UGGCGGCGUGCUUAACACAUGCAAGUCGAACGAGAAGAGAUGAGAAGCUUGCUUCUUAUUGAUUCGAGUGGCAAACGGGUGAGUAACGCAUAAGCAACCUGCCCUUCAGAUGGGGACAACAGCUGGAAACGGCUGCUAAUACCGAAUGCGUUCUUUUUGUCGCAUGGCAGAGGGAAGAAAGGGAGGCUCUUCGGAGCUUUCGCUGAAGGAGGGGCUUGCGUCUGAUUAGCUAGUUGGAGGGGUAACGGCCCACCAAGGCGACGAUCAGUAGCCGGUCUGAGAGGAUGAACGGCCACAUUGGGACUGAGACACGGCCCAAACUCCUACGGGAGGCAGCAGUAGGGAAUUUUCGUCAAUGGGGGGAACCCUGAACGAGCAAUGCCGCGUGAGUGAGGAAGGUCUUCGGAUCGUAAAGCUCUGUUGUAAGAGAAAAACGGCACUCAUAGGGAAUGAUGAGUGAGUGAUGGUAUCUUACCAGAAAGUCACGGCUAACUACGUG